Molecule: unclassified non-coding RNA, 1136 nt
Filed under: Leishmania donovani
Lineage: Eukaryota; Euglenozoa; Kinetoplastea; Trypanosomatida; Trypanosomatidae
Description: gene:LdHU3.13.0710(CDS-product:hypothetical_prote in_conserved)
Source: RNAcentral
UGCGCGAAUACAUGCACACAAGCGUGUCGCUGUGCUCCCCACAAGUCAACGUAACGGCUUUUACAGCGCCUGCACCCCACCUCCACUGCUCGUGAUCAACUUACACACCAACAAAGAAGACAGCAGCACCUGCAGCCUCUUCUCUUCUCUCCCUCCCUCACAUACACACACUCGCACAUAUUCGCACAUACACACGCUGGGCCGGUUUUUCGUGCAUCAGCCAUGCAGUCGGACUUUAACAAUGUGGAGACGGAGCUGCGCGACAUCGAGGAGACCUUCACCACUGGUCGCAUGAACGCCUUCGGCUCCGCCUCCACGCAGGACGCCUUCGUGCAUGAGCUGAAGCGCAUCGCCGAAAUCGAAACCCAAGUAUUCUACCGUACCUGCGCGCUGCUCAAGUCGAGCCACACGAACGAGCACAAACUAGUGACGAACAUGUACGCCAGCGCGCAGCCGCCGCCGCAGUCGCAGCGCUCCGGCCCUGCAACGACGUCGCCCAGCAGCAACCUGGGCGACGGCAGCUUCCGCGCAAACAGCAGCGGCUUAGAGAGCUCGAUGUACCGCGGGUCGAUGAACCAGCGCAGUCAGUCGUCGUUCGCGUCCACUGUGGCGGGAGGCCUUAGUGGCGUGCCACCGUCCAACAGCAACACGCACUCGACAGGCGCCAGCUGGCGGCAGUCCCGCCAAGGUUGGGAGAACGUGUCCGCUGGCAGUCCUUUCCCCGGCGUUGGCGACGGUGGCGCUUCAUCUGGUGCGGCGCCACACAUUCACAGGAGUGAGUGGGGCAAUGAGGACGGCUUUGCUGACAAGGCUUUUGAGGAUGUGGCUGCCCACUUCGAAGAGCUCGAAUCACAGUUCUUCUCCCUCGGCGAUUACCUCCGCGAGAUCUCGAAGCACGUCAUCCGGCUGAACGACAUGUCAAAGCAGGUCAACAACGGUGUGAGCUACGGCGCCAGCGGUGGCGUCACCGGUGCCCCCGCCGCUGCAGCGAACGCGAACGGAAGCAGCAACAACACAGACAUGCUGCAGACUGUGGGCAGCAUGGGACGGCAGGACUACCCUGGCUCCUUUGUCGAUCCCACCAGCAUCGGCGGUGGAAGCGGCUACGGGAUGGACGGCCCACAUUCGUAGACACC